This 73-nucleotide transfer RNA is filed under the name Danio rerio (zebrafish). Its description in RNAcentral is "tRNA-Met (CAT) (tRNA-Met-CAT-69-1)". It matches the Rfam family "tRNA". Rfam says of the family: Transfer RNA (tRNA) molecules are approximately 80 nucleotides in length. The record is from Rfam by way of RNAcentral. Lineage: Eukaryota; Metazoa; Chordata; Actinopteri; Cypriniformes; Danionidae.
GCCAAGUUGGCGCAGUAGGCAGCGCGUCAGUCUCAUAAUCUGAAGGUUGUGAGUUCGAGCCUCACACAUGGCA